This 446-nucleotide long non-coding RNA is filed under the name Oryzias javanicus (javanese ricefish). RNAcentral describes it as "lncRNA (ENSOJAG00000007388.1)". Lineage: Eukaryota; Metazoa; Chordata; Actinopteri; Beloniformes; Adrianichthyidae. The record is from RNAcentral.
GUGAAUGUAUGCUAUGGAUUACGAGUCGGCAACCCUGUGUGCACCCAGGGAGACCUGCAGAGGGAGAGGGACAGAGAGGAACGUAAACUAGACUCCUGCAAUGCACAACCAGUCUCAUAAUCCUGGAGCGGUUUUCCAACAGCGAAGAUCCCAGACCAGACUUCAGAAAACUGGAACUCUCCUGCAUCUUCCUGAACCUCUUUGACCAGGAUUGGUGACAUCAGCAUCCUCCUGCAAGUUCUGGAGGUUAUGCCAUCCUCCACAACAUCUGCCUCUGUGCUGACGACACCGAAACUCCAGAGGAUGAGCCAGAGGAAGAUGUGGAGGAGCCUGGUUUGGAGGCCACCAGCGGUGCUCUAGGUCAGGACCAACUACCCGCUGAGGUUUCUUCCCUGGAGGAUGUACCACCAGACCUUGAAUACUGGCAACAGGUAGUUCCAGCCCCG